AUCUCGACACCUACGGGAGGUAGCAGUGAGGAAUAUUGGUCAAUGGGCGCUAGCCUGAACCAGCCAAGUAGCGUGAAGGAUGAAGGCUCUAUGGGUCGUAAACUUCUUUUAUAUAAGAAUAAAGUGCAGUAUGUAUACUGUUUUGUAUGUAUUAUAUGAAUAAGGAUCGGCUAACUCCGUGCCACAGCCGCGGUAAUCUGAGCGGGCUGGCAAGGC
Molecule: ribosomal RNA, 216 nt
Filed under: uncultured bacterium
Lineage: Bacteria
Description: partial 16S ribosomal RNA
Rfam family: Bacterial small subunit ribosomal RNA
Source: RNAcentral